UACGGAGGGAGCUAGCGUUGUUCGGAAUUACUGGGCGUAAAGCGCACGUAGGCGGCCAUUCAAGUCAGAGGUGAAAGCCCAGGGCUCAACCCUGGAACUGCCUUUGAAACUAGAUGGCUAGAAUCCUGGAGAGGCGAGUGGAAUUCCGAGUGUAGAGGUGAAAUUCGUAGAUAUUCGGAAGAACACCAGUGGCGAAGGCGACUCGCUGGACAGGUAUUGACGCUGAGGUGCGAAAGCGUGGGGAGCAAACAGGAUUAGAAACCCCCGUAGUCC
This 273-nucleotide ribosomal RNA is filed under the name uncultured bacterium. RNAcentral's name for it is "partial 16S ribosomal RNA". It matches the Rfam family "Bacterial small subunit ribosomal RNA", at positions 524 to 796 of the family's 1533-position model. The record is from RNAcentral.